This 487-nucleotide ribosomal RNA is filed under the name uncultured copper smeltery bacterium D53. RNAcentral describes it as "bacterial SSU rRNA". It matches the Rfam family "Bacterial small subunit ribosomal RNA", at positions 32 to 492 of the family's 1533-position model. The record is from RNAcentral.
AAUCAACGCUGGCGGCGUGCCUCAGACAUGCAAGUCGAACGCGAAAGUCCCCUUCGGGGGACGAGUAGAGUGGCGUCCGGGUGAGUAACACGUGAGUAAUUUGCCUUCGGGUGGGGAAUAACAGCCGGAAACGGCUGCUAAUACCGCAUGAUGCAGCGGCACCUCAUGGUGACAGUUGUUAAAGCGGGGGAUUCGCAAGAACCUCGCGCCUGAAGAGAAGCUCGCGGCAGAUUAGCUAGUUGGUAGGGUAACGGCCUACCAAGGCAACGAUCUGUAGCCGGCCUGAGAGGGCGGUCGGCCACACUGACACUGACACACGGGUCAGACUCCUACGGGAGGCAGCAGUCGGGAAUUUUGGGCAAUGGGCGAAAGCCUGACCCAGCAACGCCGCGUGAAGGAUGAAGUAUUUCGGUAUGUAAACUUCACAAGAAUGGGAAGAAUAAGUGGGGGCUAAUACCCCCCAUGAUGACGGUACCAUUUGUGAGCU